UGUAGAAUAAGCUAAAUUUAAGCUGUUGGGUUCAUACCCCAGAUAUGAGGGUACUCUUUUACAG
Molecule: transfer RNA, 64 nt
Filed under: Maackia herderiana
Lineage: Eukaryota; Metazoa; Mollusca; Gastropoda; Littorinimorpha; Baicaliidae
Description: tRNA-Met
Source: RNAcentral